This is an unclassified non-coding RNA of Otolemur garnettii (small-eared galago), 108 nucleotides long. It matches the Rfam family "Y RNA". Rfam says of the family: Y RNAs are components of the Ro ribonucleoprotein particle (Ro RNP), in association with Ro60 and La proteins. The Y RNAs and Ro60 and La proteins are well conserved, but the function of the Ro RNP is not known. The record is from Ensembl. Lineage: Eukaryota; Metazoa; Chordata; Mammalia; Primates; Galagidae.
AGCUGGUACAAUAGUAGUAAGUUAUCUGAAUUGAUCAUUAGGUUAUAGAUUGAACUCCCUUUUUCUGCUCUUUACUGUUUUCUUGCUACUGCAUUUGAUUAGUCUUUA